ACAGCAUGGUGACCCAGUUACACAUACAUGUAUACAUUCUUUUUUCUCACGUUAUCAUGUUCCAUCAUAAGUGACUAGACAUAGUUCCCAGUGCUAUCCAGCAAGAUCUCACUGCUGAUCCAUUCCAAAGGCAAUCAUUUGCAUCUAUCAACCCCAAACUCCCGAUCCACCCCACUCGCUCCCCCUCGGCAACCACAAGUCUAUUCUCCAAAUCCAUGAGCUUCUUUUAUGUGGAAAGAUUCAUUUGAGCCAUAUAUUAAAUUCCAGAUGUAAGUGAUAUCAUAUGGUAUUUGUCUUUCUCUUUCUGACUUACUUCAUUCAGGGUAUUUCUAUGUCCACGGACAUGCUGACUAUACUAUUAUGGCCAGAUUCUACCAAGGGAAUGAAAUUAGCACAUUAUAGAUAAGCUAGAUGUCCUCCUGGUUCUCCAUGUGUACCUUCCUCAUAGCACUGCCAAUAGUUCUCCCAGAAAAGAUGCAGUUUUGUCUUCUGGAAAAAAAAAAUCUUUCCUCAAGGCUAUACUUUGCUUUUGGCCUUGUUUUUAAAGGCCACACAAAGCACAUUCUGGGGUUCCACAUGGUAGCGUUAUGGUACCUCCAGCCUCCUCUCUGCUGUUUUUCUGCAACGUCUCCUCUUCUCUAAGGUAAACACCUUCUGUGCUUUGAGCCAGCCCGUCUGUGCCUUUCCUGCAUGUAGUCAUCCUUCUCUGGCACUGCUUCAGUUUGCCCACAUCUCCCCAAAACACAAAGAAUGUUGCUAGUGAGGUCUAACCAGCCAAAGUACAUGUACUGGCUUAUUACCACACCCGAAGACUGAUUUUUUUUUUUUCUUAUUCUUUUUUUAUGGCCAAAUCCGAGUCAUAUGAAAGUUCCCAUGCUAGGGGUUGUAUUGGAGCUGCAGCUAUAGGCCUACACCACAGCCACAACAACACUGGAUCUGAGCUGCACCUGCGACCUACACCACAGCUUGUGGCAAUGCCCGAUCUGUAACCUACUGAACGUGGCCAGGGAUCAAACCUGUACCCUCAUGGACACGAUGUUAGGUUCUUACCCACCGAGCCACAAUGGGAACUCCCCCAAAGACUGCUUUUUGAAACCAGUUUCACGGAUCUUCUGGCUUAUGCUAUUUAAUAUUCUACUAAGUCAGCACACACUUCAAACUCCAAAGAAGAGAAAGAUAGAUAGGAGGAAAGGAAAGUAGAGGGAAGUUAAGUACUGGACGAAGGAAGAAGGUUGCAGAGAUGGAACUAUUUCCAGGAAAGGCUGUGGAUUCCCUGGAUCCAAGUGUCCUCCUAUCUAAGUAGAACAUGCUUAGAAGUAAAAUUUAGUAAAAGCAAUCCCCUCCAAACACGUUCUCUUACUUUGCCUGAAAGCUUGUCAUUUGAAGAUUUAUUGGAGUUAAUAAGGAAAAACAAAACAUAAAUAAAACGCAAACACAAACCAACCAGAAAACCCACCCACAAUAACAUGGAUUACCAGAUAAUCGCACACCUCAUGAGUUUUAAACAGAAAGCAAUUUGGUUUAGCAAAUGACAACAAGUUUUGAUGUUGAUAAGUUUCUUACUGGGAAUCUAGGGAUGGUUGGUGGGGAGGGGGAGAAAAUAAAAAUCCACCCUGGAGGAUGGAUAGGAGAACCCUGCCUCCCGAAAUAAAAAUCAGUGCUCAGGGAUGGACAGAGAGCAGAAGAUUCAGAACUGGCACAGUGGCCAAACGCUUGAGACACAUGGAGCCCUUGAGUACUCUGCUGGUUGGGAGGCUUGGAAGAAACGUCACCAUGGAUGCCAAGGGGCGACCACUGGGCAGCAGGAGGGCUGCAGAGAGUGGUUUCUGAAGGCAAGUUCACCUUCGUGGCCCUUCAACCCAGGACCGGUUAAGCAGUGCUUUCAUCUUCCCUGAACCCAAGUGCAGAUGUGACUUAUUACACACGGACAUGGACACAUCCAGUUUUUCUCAGCAUCUCCGGGGCCUCACCCAAUGUCUAGUAGCGAUCCAUCAAGAAUCAGUGAUGCUGGACAGUCUCCCCACCAAAUGCCCGGACUGCAAAAUGCCACCACUCGAAGGGGAGGUGAGGGGCUUGGCUGGCAGGCUCUCCAGGACAUGCUGGCUCUCAGGGGUCCUCAUGGGACUAGAGAGGGGAGGAGCAGAGCAAGGUCCCAUUUAAAGAGAAC
Molecule: long non-coding RNA, 2167 nt
Filed under: Sus scrofa (pig)
Lineage: Eukaryota; Metazoa; Chordata; Mammalia; Artiodactyla; Suidae
Description: lncRNA (ENSSSCG00005013417.1)
Source: RNAcentral